AUUGAACGCUGGCGGCAUGCCUUACACAUGCAAGUCGAACGGCAGCACGGGAGCUUGCUCCUGGUGGCGAGUGGCGAACGGGUGAGUAUUACAUCGGAACGUACCCUGAAGUGGGGGAUAACGUAGCGAAAGUUACGCUAAUACCGCAUAUUCUGUGAGCAGGAAAGAGGGGGAUCGCAAGACCUCUUGCUUUAGGAGCGGCCGAUGUCGGAUUAGCUAGUUGGUGAGGUAAAGGCUCACCAAGGCGACGAUCCGUAGCGGGUCUGAGAGGAUGAUCCGCCACACUGGGACUGAGACACGGCCCAGACUCCUACGGGAGGCAGCAGUGGGGAAUUUUGGGCAAUGGGCGCAAGCCUGAUCCAGCCAUGCCGCGUGAGUGAAGAAGGCCUGGUGUAAG
Molecule: ribosomal RNA, 397 nt
Filed under: uncultured bacterium
Lineage: Bacteria
Description: bacterial SSU rRNA
Rfam family: Bacterial small subunit ribosomal RNA
Source: RNAcentral